ACCAAAGCCAGCAGGUUCAGCAAAACGUAAAUGACUUGGUAAUUUCUGAGGAUCCAAAGGCUCAAGAUGAUGCAACUGAUUCGGAGCGUCUUUUCCAAACAUAUCACCACUAUGGACAUGGUUGUAAGGACGAAUAAAGGUAGUAUGCUCGGUACCUCUCAAGUCCCCAUGACCAUCAACCUCCUGAUUAGGAGCGUCUUUUCCAAACAUAUCACCACUAUGGACAUGGUUGUAAGGACGAAUAAAGGUAGUAUGCUCGGUACCUCUCAAGUCCCCAUGACCAUCAACCUCGAGUCCAUGUGAGUGGCCAGGCAAAGGUUGGAACCUACCAUCAGAGAAUAAACCACCAGCUACAUUGGAAGGAAAAUUUAAAUGUUUAGGCCCUUCAAUA
This 391-nucleotide long non-coding RNA is filed under the name Nicotiana benthamiana. RNAcentral's name for it is "long non-coding RNA (NBEN_LNC038577)". Lineage: Eukaryota; Viridiplantae; Streptophyta; Magnoliopsida; Solanales; Solanaceae. The record is from RNAcentral.